This 909-nucleotide long non-coding RNA is filed under the name Salvia miltiorrhiza (redroot sage). RNAcentral's name for it is "long non-coding RNA (SMIL_LNC003715)". The record is from RNAcentral. Lineage: Eukaryota; Viridiplantae; Streptophyta; Magnoliopsida; Lamiales; Lamiaceae.
UUGGUGUUCUUAACUCAAGAGAAAUGUUUUCAAUUAUUUAUUCAUUAAAUUUUGAAAACCCGGCUAAGUGAAUCAUAGAAUAUUAAGCACUACACCAUGACUUAAGAUUAGAUUCAAGGAGACCUAUUGAGAAUAGAUUUCUUGUAGGCUUUGAGCAUCAGAAGGAUUAGCACUGCUAUUCCGAUUCAGAGAUAAGGUUAAACGACAGGCUUUGCCUAGACAGGUGGGCUUACUUUCCAAAUGUACAAAGUAUGAUUGAGUUAUUAAGCUCUAAAUGUUUCAAUGAAAUGCAAAUUAUUUAUUUAAUGUAAUGAAAACUGUUUAUCCAAUAAAAUGUUUAUGUGCACUCUGCUCUGUUUAAGGCUCGCGCAGUUAAUCAAUUGAGGUUCUCUUAUGACCUAAUACGUUGUUUGAGAAUUGUGUACACUUGUUAGUUGACUCGGUGGGUUGAUCUCCAUCGGGCUCUAACCAGAGGCGUUAUAAGGGUGCUCGGCUGGAUGUGUUCCGGAGCAUGAGAAAUAUCAGGCCUGCCUAGGUAGCGUCCCGAGGUCAAAGUAAACUUGUCUGGGUUACGCCCUCAGUUCAAGUAAGCGGGAGACAGAGAUCCGUCGGUGGCUAAAAGGUCCGGGAUCACAGCGAGUAACAGAAAGGGAGUGUGACAUGUGCGCACAAAUGAAAGAAAAUAUUUUAACAUGCUUAGAAGUUAUUUCAAUUUAAAACCUUCUAAGUCAUGUCAAGUAUGAUUGGAUAAACUGUCUUUAAGAAAAUAAUGAAAUGUUUAUGAAAAUGCAUGCCCACUAAGUACAUUAGUACUUAGCCCAAAAAUACUUUCAAAUGUUUUCAGGUUGGCUGGCCGGUGCUGACGGGACGGAGCUGAGGCUAGAGAUAAAUUCCUAUGUUAGACUUCCG